AAGAAAAUCUCAUCAAUACCUACUAUUGGUGCUGGCAGUAUUCCUUCAGUAUCAUCACCACUUCAAGACCCAACAAUUCCUAAUCUCCCUCCUGUAUCACCACCACUUCAAGAUCCAACAAUUCCUAAUCUCCCUCCUGUUAACCAACACUUUUUCCCUCUUCCUUUUCUUCCUCAGCUUCCACCAUUACCACAGCUUCCUCCUCUUCCACCUCUUCCAGGAUUACCUAAAUUUCCACCGAUCCCUGGGAAGACCACAAAAGAAGUUAAAACCUCCCCUGAAAGUGUGAAGAAAACACCAGAAUCAGGAGAAGAACAACCAGACUUUUUCUUUCCAACACCACCACUUUUUCCACCAAACCCUUUUCAACCACCACCAAUUCUUCCACCAAACCCACUUCAGCCACCUCCAUUAAUCCCUCCAUUGCUUCCUCCAAACCCAUUUCAGCCACCUCCAUUAUUCCCUCCUAACCCUUUUCAACCUCCUCCAUCUCCAUCGUUUCCUUUCCCACCAAUUCCUGGCCUAACUCCAUCACCACCUCCACCAGUCUUUCCUUUUCCUCCUUUCCCCCCAUUCCCUUUCCCUCCUUCGCCUCCUCGAAUUCCAGGAAUCCCCCCUGCAGCCUCUAGUACUACUUCAACCACCCACAAAACUUCUCCUUGAUUUAUCUGUCAAUGUAAAAUUAUCCAAUAAUGUCUUAGAGUAUUUAGACCAAAUUACCUUUUUCAUAUAUAUUUU
This 738-nucleotide long non-coding RNA is filed under the name Ricinus communis (castor bean). RNAcentral's name for it is "long non-coding RNA (RCOM_LNC001948)". Lineage: Eukaryota; Viridiplantae; Streptophyta; Magnoliopsida; Malpighiales; Euphorbiaceae. The record is from RNAcentral.